UACUGUUAUACAUUUAAAAUAAAUUGGAAAACUUCUUGUCAAAAAUAGAAAUAACUUUUUUCAUAGGUGAUAUGUUUUCCCAUUUCAGACAAAUCCUUCUAAAGUUUAAGGAAAUUGCUGAACAACUUUGCUGUUCUGGCUGCUUCUUGAGGGUGUUGUGAUAGGGCAGGAAUCUUGAAUACUGCGGGGCAGAUGCAUGCUGUGCUCAAAGAAAAUCAAAACCUGAGACCUCAGGAGUCCAUGAUUUAAUUUUUUUAACUCCAGAGACUCUGGAACAAUCUAUUCAGAACCUUUGAAACAUAACACAAUAGAGUCAGCAGAAGGCAGACACAGUGUGAAGCAUGACUGAGGUCCAAGGCUUAACCUAGAUUAUGAUUAUUCUACCACCUAAAGCUUCUACUUAAUAGGACGUAUAGAAAAAUGGCUUCUUGCUGGUUUCCUUUGUGAUAUUGGAAAUAACAGAACAGCCUAAGCUUCCGUGUUAUUGAAUUACUUCUGGAGACUUCUGACACAUGCGGGGAGGACUGUGCAGUGUGGGAGGCAAGUUAGGAAACACUAUGUGUUUUAUUCCCACUGAGGGACAUUAGCAAGGAUGAUCCAAGAAAGGUGAAGGCUCCAGGGCUGUAGAACGUGAAGUGACAAGAUAAACAAACCUGGCUUUUGGUGUUUUUGUCGAAAGAGUGGUAAAAAUAAUAAUGGUUUAAAAAAAUAAACCAUGUCCCUCUUGCCUACAGCACUCUUGCUUAAGGGGUUGAAUGAGUUUGGGGAUGCCUAUGGCUCUAAAUUCCCUAAAUUCUCAUCACCGGGGAAGGGAUCUGCAGUUGAAAGGCUGAGUGCCCAGGACCAAGGAAGGUAGGAUGCCAGGUGCUGCUAACAACUAUGUAUGCAGCACAAUGCCCAUCACCGUGGACACAAGGCAAAGCCUCCCACAACCUUCACAUCUGUAAUCCUCUAGGGUUCUCAGGCAAUGCCAGGGAAAGGAAGGAACCUCCCCUUGCCAAACAUGAUUAGGAUUGAACAAUUUUCUAACCCUAGUGAGGUUUUAAUUUUAUUUAAAACAGCAGCAAAACAACAACAAUGUGAUGUGACUUUAAUUUCAGUAUUAUGGUUUAAGCUUAUACACAUUAUAUAGGCAUACAGUAAAAGUUACAGAAAUGGGACCAAGAAUGAUUACGUUUAAAAAACGCAGUUUCUGUAUAAAAGAACCUGCAACUUUCUGUUAAAUAAGUUUUAGUAAAAUUAAAACUCUAAAACAUAGCUUCUUAACAAAAGCAACAAACAGAACAGUUUGUACAAAAUGAUUCUAUUUGUGUAAAAUAGGAGGAAAUAUUUAUACGCAUAACCUCAAGUGUGGACAAAAUAUCUGUUGAAGGACACUCCCGUCACCUUUAUAACACUGGUUUCUCCCAGGGAGGACAUCUUGGUGGCUGGGGCAGGGACAGGAGGGAGACUUUCCCAGCCUGUGUGAGCUAAUAGUGGCAAGUAUUUGGGAAAAAAGAAGGGUCUAGACAGAGAAGAUGGUGGAUCAGAGAAGAGCAUGGAGCAUGAGAGGGUGGACCUGAUGAGGUGGGAAGCCAGGCGUGCCCCACUGCCGGAGCAGGACUGCAAGGGGCUGCUGCAGACAACACAUGGAAAGCCACUGCCUCUGAGCCUUUGCAUUUGCAGUUCCCUCUGUGUGGAACAGCCUUCUCCCCAGACAUCCUUGUUCCUGCCUUCCUGUUUCACCCAGGUGGAACCUUCUGAGGGUACUUAUUUAAAAUUGUGACCCAAUCCUCCCACUUUUUUUGUACUUAAUUUUUCUUCAUGUCACUUAUAUACUAAAAUACUCUAUAUUUUACCUAUUUAUUUUGUUUAUUUUCUAUCAUGAUGACAGGACUUUGCGUUUUGAUUCCUGAUUUCUUUUCUGCUAUGCCUGGAGCAGCCUCUGAGAUACGUGGCUGCUCAGGAAGUGUGUGCUGACUGUGUAAACAAUGAAGUUAUGCAAAUGGCUCUUGGGUAGUUGAUAUUCUUAAAGAGAGAGAAGUGUCUAUUUCUAUAUCCUUCUAAGGAAAAUAGACUAUGAGUACUUUUGAUGAAUUCCCUAGUUUAUACCCCAAAGGUGCAUAAUUUGCCCCAGAUAGAAUUAAUAAUUAUUUUAAUAAGCCUGUGACUUUGUUACAUUUUUCAUCAUCCUUAGAUAGAAAGUUCCAGAGAUGAUCUCAUUAUAUUAUGACUUAUGAUGAGUACAUACUUAGGACAACCCCUAGGAAGAUAAAAUGAUUAUGCAUGACCCGUAUCUCAUUUUUUUUUUCACUCUCAUCUUUAAGGUUCUGAGAAAAUAGAAGAAAAACUGCCAGAAGGAAGAGAAGCUUGACUUCUGUGUGGUUCAGUCUGCAUAAUUGAAUUGCCACAUUGUGUCUGGGAGUAGGAUAAGAACUACUUAACAAUAUACAUACUGAUCCAUUGUGGAAUUAUUAAGGAAAAUACAUUGAAAUAGGUGGCAUUCUUGUCAAAGAUAUAUAUGGACGGCUAGAUGGAUAGAUAGGUGAAAAUCAUGUUCCAUGGAAGAAGAGUUAGCUCAGCCUGCAACUCAAACAAGUACAGAUAUUCUUCCAUGGAAUGACCAUCAUACUUGGAUUGUAAUAAAAAUGCUUUAGGCAAACUUCUCAUUUCAUCCUUGGCAUAUUAAAAAUAUGUAUGUAUGUUUAAGGCUUGAAACUUAACACUGUAUUUUAAUGUUUCAGUAAGGUAAUUCUUCUUAAAUAAAAUUGGCAUUUUUAAAAAAGCCCUCUCUCACCACUCCUAUUCAACAUAGUGUUGGAAGUUCUGGCCAGGGCAAUUAGG
This 2823-nucleotide long non-coding RNA is filed under the name Homo sapiens (human). Its description in RNAcentral is "HSALNT0309356". Lineage: Eukaryota; Metazoa; Chordata; Mammalia; Primates; Hominidae. The record is from RNAcentral.